CCUACGGGAGGCAGCAGUGGGGAAUCUUGCGCAAUGGGCGAAAGCCUGACGCAGCAACGCCGCGUGCGGGAAGAAGGCUUUCGGGCUGUAAACCGCUUUCAGCAGGAACGAAAAUGACGGUACCUGCAGAAGAAGGAGCGGCCAACUAUGUGCCAGCAGCCGCGGUGAUACAUAGGCUUCAAGCGUUGUCCGGAUUUAUUGGGCGUAAAGAGUUCGUAGGCGGUCAAGUAAGUCGGGUGUGAAAAUUCUGGGCUCAACCCAGAGACGCCACCCGAUACUGCUUAACUUGAGUUCGAUAGGGGAGUGGGGAAUUCCUAGUGUAGCGGUGAAAUGCGCAGAUAUUAGGAGGAACACCGGUGGCGAAGGCGCCACUCUGGAUCGAUACUGACGCUGAGGAACGAAAGCAUGGGUAGCAAACAGGAUUAGAUACCCUGGUAGUCCAUGCCGUAAACGGUGGGCACUAGGUGUGGGUUUCUAUUAACGAAAUCCGCGCCGUCGCUAACGCAUUAAGUGCCCCGCCUGGGGAAGUCGGUCGCAAGACUAAAACUCAAAGGAAUUGACGGCNGAGAGUGCGACGACGACGACGAGGAGAG
This 593-nucleotide ribosomal RNA is filed under the name uncultured bacterium. RNAcentral's name for it is "bacterial SSU rRNA". It matches the Rfam family "Bacterial small subunit ribosomal RNA", at positions 338 to 948 of the family's 1533-position model. The record is from RNAcentral.